GGCGAACGCUGGCGGCGUGCCUAAUACAUGCAAGUCGAACGAACCGCGACUAGGUGCUUGCACUUGGUCAAGGUGAGUGGCGAACGGGUGAGUAACACGUGGGUAACCUACCUCAUAGUGGGGGAUAACAGUCGGAAACGACUGCUAAUACCGCAUAGGACAUAGGAUCACAUGAUCCAGUGAGGAAAGGUGGCGCAAGCUAUCGCUAAGAGAUGGACCCGCGGUGCAUUAGCUAGUUGGUAGGGUAAAGGCCUACCAAGGCGAUGAUGCAUAGCCGACCUGAGAGGGUGAUCGGCCACAUUGGGACUGAGACACGGCCCAAACUCCUACGGGAGGCAGCAGUGGGGAAUCUUCCGCAAUGGACGCAAGUCUGACGGAGCAACGCCGCGUGAGUGAAGAAGGUCUUCGGAUCGUAAAGCUCUGUUGUUAGAGAAGAACAGCGCAUAGAGUAACUGUUAUGCGUGUGACGGUAUCUAACCAGAAAGCCACGGCUAACUACGUG
RNAcentral lists this ribosomal RNA (502 nucleotides) under uncultured bacterium. RNAcentral's name for it is "partial 16S ribosomal RNA". It matches the Rfam family "Bacterial small subunit ribosomal RNA", at positions 28 to 507 of the family's 1533-position model. The record is from RNAcentral.